AGAGUUUGAUCCUGGCUCAGGGUGAACGCUGGCGAUGUGCCUAAGACAUGCAAGUCGAGCGGGAUUUGUUGUUUACACAAAGUAUUCCCUAUACAGUGGGAAAUUUUGUGUAAAUAAUAAGUUUAGCGGCGAACGGGUGAGUAAUAAGUACAGACAUGCCCCUUUGUAGGACAUAGUCCGCCGAAAGGCGGGGUAAUUUCCUAUAGUAUCUUCGGAUUAAAGACGCAAGUCGCGAAGGGAGUGGUGUACUAGCUACCAGCUAGUUGGUGAGGUAAUGGCUCACCAAGGCUAUGACGGCUACCGGCUCUUAGCGGAGAGUCCGGCACAAUGGGACUGAGACACGGCCCAUACUUCUACGGAAGGCAGCAGUUAGGAAUUUUGCGCAAUGGACGAAAGUCUGACGCAGCGACAUCGCGUGUGGGAUGACGGCCCUCGGGUUGUAAACCACUUUUGGGAGCCAUGAAGGCUCCAGAAUAG
Molecule: ribosomal RNA, 477 nt
Filed under: uncultured bacterium
Lineage: Bacteria
Description: bacterial SSU rRNA
Rfam family: Bacterial small subunit ribosomal RNA
Source: RNAcentral